This 465-nucleotide ribosomal RNA is filed under the name uncultured bacterium. Its description in RNAcentral is "partial 16S ribosomal RNA". It matches the Rfam family "Bacterial small subunit ribosomal RNA", at positions 28 to 507 of the family's 1533-position model. The record is from RNAcentral.
GACGAACGCUGGCGGCGUGCUUAACACAUGCAAGUCGAACGGAAAGGCCCCUUUGGGGGUACUCGAGUGGCGAACGGGUGAGUAACACGUGAGUAACCUGCCCUUGACUUCGGGAUAACUUCAGGAAACUGGGGCUAAUACCGGAUAGGAAUCCUUGCUGCAUGGUGGGGGUUGGAAAGCUUCGGCGGUUUUGGAUGGACUCGCGGCUUAUCAGCUUGUUGGUGGGGUAGUGGCUUACCAAGGCUUUGACGGGUAGCCGGCCUGAGAGGGCGAACGGCCACAUUGGGACUGGGAUACGGCCCAGACUCCUACGGGAGGCAGCAGGGGGGAAUAUUGCACAAUGGGCGGAAGCCUGAUGCAGCAACGCCGCGUGCGGGAUGACGGCCUUCGGGUUGUAAACCGCUUUCAGCAGGGGCGAAGCUUGUGGUGACGGUACCUGCAGAAGAAGCACCGGCUAACUACGUG